AACGAACGCUGGCGGCAGGCUUAACACAUGCAAGUCGAACGCCCCGCAAGGGGAGUGGCAGACGGGUGAGUAACACGUGGGAACGUGCCCUUCGCUUCGGGAUAGCCUCGGGAAACUGGGAGUAAUACCGAAUACGCCGUAUUGGGAAAGAUAUAUCGGCGAAGGAUCGGCCCGCGUUGGAUUAGCUAGUUGGCGGUGUAAUGGACCACCAAGGCUACGAUCCAUAGCUGGUCUGAGAGGACGACCAGCCACACUGGGACUGAGACACGGCCCAGACUCCUACGGGAGGCAGCAGUGGGGAAUCUUGGACAAUGGGCGCAAGCCUGAUCCAGCCAUGCCGCGUGAGUGAAGAAGGCCUUAGGGUUGUAAAACUCUUUCGCCGGUGAAGAUAAUGACGGUAACCGGAGAAGAAGCCCCGGCUAACUUCGUGCCAGCAGCCGCGGUAAU
RNAcentral lists this ribosomal RNA (447 nucleotides) under uncultured bacterium. RNAcentral describes it as "bacterial SSU rRNA". It matches the Rfam family "Bacterial small subunit ribosomal RNA", at positions 29 to 524 of the family's 1533-position model. The record is from RNAcentral.